Molecule: ribosomal RNA, 405 nt
Filed under: uncultured bacterium
Lineage: Bacteria
Description: bacterial SSU rRNA
Rfam family: Bacterial small subunit ribosomal RNA
Source: RNAcentral
UGGGGAAUAUUGGGCAAUGGGCGCAAGCCUGACCCAGCAACGCCGCGUGAAGGAAGAAGGCUUUCGGGUUGUAAACUUCUUUUGUCAGGGACGAAAAAAAUGACGGUACCUGACGAAUAAGCCACGGCUAACUACGUGCCAGCAGCCGCGGUAAUACGUAGGUGGCAAGCGUUAUCCGGAUUUACUGGGUGUAAAGGGCGUGUAGGCGGGAAAGCAAGUCAGAUGUGAAAACUAUGGGCUCAACCCAUAGCCUGCAUUUGAAACUGUUUUUCUUGAGUGUCGGAGAGGUAAUCGGAAUUCCGUGUGUAGCGGUGAAAUGCGUAGAUAUACGGAGGAACACCAGUGGCGAAGGCGGAUUACUGGACGAUAACUGACGCUGAGGCGCGAAAGCGUGGGGAGCAAACA